CAAUAGCGUAUAUUAUUGAUGUUGCACUUUAUGUGCUUGGAUACUAUAACAUCUUUGAUGUGAUAGUGUUUUCAGCACAGAUCAUGCAAACCAACACCAUAUGUUUCAUAUGGUUGUUUGAUUUGCAUCUUACUUUGAGUGAAUCGGCGUGUUCCACGCAGGCAUGUGCCUUGAACGAUUUACCAUAGCAUAAAUAGAGUAUGGAAGUAUUUGUUUGCUUGUUCACGGAUAUUUCUGAUACUGACAAGAACGGUUGAGGGCAUUCGUAUUCAACUGCUAGAGGUGAAAUUCUUUGAUUAGUUGAGGACGAACUAUUGCGAAAGCAUCUGCCAUGGACGUUUCUUUUGA
Molecule: ribosomal RNA, 348 nt
Filed under: uncultured eukaryote
Lineage: Eukaryota
Description: partial 18S ribosomal RNA
Rfam family: Eukaryotic small subunit ribosomal RNA
Source: RNAcentral